GACGAACGCUGGCGGCGUGCUUAACACAUGCAAGUCGAACGGAAAGGCCCUGCUUUUGUGGGGUGCUCGAGUGGCGAACGGGUGAGUAACACGUGUGUAACCUGCCCUUGACUUUGGGAUAACUUCAGGAAACUGGGGCUAAUACCGGAUAGGAGCUCCUGCUGCAUGGUGGGGGUUGGAAAGUUUCGGCGGUUGGGGAUGGACUCGCGGCUUAUCAGCUUGUUGGUGGGGUAGUGGCUUACCAAGGCUUUGACGGGUAGCCGGCCUGAGAGGGUGACCGGCCACAUUGGGACUGAGAUACGGCCCAGACUCCUACGGGAGGCAGCAGUGGGGAAUAUUGCACAAUGGGCGGAAGCCUGAUGCAGCAACGCCGCGUGCGGGAUGACGGCCUUCGGGUUGUAACCGCUUUCGCCUGUGACGAAGCGUGAGUGACGGUAAUGGGUAAAGAAGCACCGGCUAACUACGUG
This 467-nucleotide ribosomal RNA is filed under the name uncultured bacterium. RNAcentral's name for it is "partial 16S ribosomal RNA". It matches the Rfam family "Bacterial small subunit ribosomal RNA", at positions 28 to 507 of the family's 1533-position model. The record is from RNAcentral.